Molecule: ribosomal RNA, 253 nt
Filed under: uncultured bacterium
Lineage: Bacteria
Description: partial 16S ribosomal RNA
Rfam family: Bacterial small subunit ribosomal RNA
Source: RNAcentral
UACGGGGGGGGCAAGCGUUGUUCGGAAUUACUGGGCGUAAAGGGCUCGUAGGCGGCCAACUAAGUCAAACGUGAAAUCCCUCGGCUUAACCGGGGAACUGCGUCUGAUACUGGAUGGCUUGAGUUUGGGAGAGGGAUGCGGAAUUCCAGGUGUAGCGGUGAAAUGCGUAGAUAUCUGGAGGAACACCGGUGGCGAAGGCGGCAUCCUGGACCAAUAUUGACGCUGAGGAGCGAAAGCCAGGGGAGCAAACGGG